UUAGUACUUUCCAAGGAUACGCUUUUCCCUUUUAUCCACUCCAUAUAUAUCCGCUACUCUAAAUUUAAUCAUCAUCCUAUUUAUUCCCAAAAUCUCUACUAAUUUACUCUCUUAAUCACUAUUAAUCCUCAAAUCCAAUGACUCCCAAAAUCCUCACGCAAUUUCCUUAGAGUUAGGGUUCCGAUUUCUCCUCCAUUUUCGGUCUCCUGCAUGCCGUAAACCGUACGCACGGACAUGGAUGCUGUGAAGGGGAGGCCGUUUGAUUAUGCCAACGUGCCGAUAAGAGUGCAUGAGAACGGCGGAGGUUUCGACGCCGAUGAUAUCAGCGGCGGCGGGGGGGGAUGAUACGACGAGCAGUGCUGAGGAGAUGUCUGCGCCGAUGCCUAUUACUGUAAAUAACCAGUUGUCGGUGCGGCUGCCAGUGUCGAGGACGAGUGAGCUCACAAUUUCUUUUGAAGGCGAAGUCUAUGUGUUUCCCGCUGUCACUCCGGAGAAGGUGCAAGCUGUCUUGUUACUCUUGGGAGAUCAGGAGACACCAAACAGUAUAACCAGCCCUGAAUUUCUGUUACAACUAAAUGAUAAGGCUGUGGAUGAUGUUUCAAGCCGGCCUACUGAUUCUCGGAGGAUCGCAUCAUUAGAGAGAUUCCGCGAGAAGCGGAAAGAGAGAUGCUUUGAAAAAAAGAUUAGGUACACUUGCAGAAAAGAAGUUGCUCAGAGGAUGCAUCGGAAAAAUGGCCAAUUUGCCUCUGUAAAGGAUCUUUGUAAAGCAUCCGCUGAUAAUUGGGUUUCAGGCAAUAUCACACCUCAUCCUGAACCUUUGUCUGUUUUACGUAGAUGUCAACAUUGUGGGGUUAGCGAAACUUCAACUCCUGCAAUGCGUCGGGGGCCAGCAGGUCCACGAACUUUAUGCAAUGCUUGUGGAUUGAUGUGGGCAAACAAGGGAACUCUAAGAGAUCUCUCAAAGGGCGGAAGGCAUAUAUUAGAUCACAAUGAAGCAGAAACUCUGGAGAUCAAGCCUCCUGCUGCUGAGCCAGAUAACUUAUAUCAUAACCAUGAUGAGGAGAAUGAACUUUGAGGACGAAAUAGGAGGAGCAUAAAAUUAUGUAUUGCGUACUGGUGUUAUAUGCUUCAGUGUGUCAGAUAGUGUGUUUCCUGUUUGAUUGGCUGGACAGAGAACUCCUGAACAACGGCCUCCUUUGGUGGAAUCUGGAAAUCCUUCAGUAAGGACUCAGCAGGUAUGUAAUAUUUAAAAAUCCACUAAUGACCUCAUCAUAGACAGUUCUGCAAAUAUUUGUCUCAAAGUAUAUGGAUACACCAUUCUUUUCCAUCAUGUUAGCAACAUAUGCUGCUAAGAAAUAGUUAACCAAAUAUAGAAUUCCAAAUAAACUCUGUUCAAAACUUUUAUCACUUAAACUCACAAGAACUAACUAAUAGCCAAUACCAUGUGGUUUAAGCAUCAUAUAAUGAAUCAUAAUAAAUGUCUUAAAUAGAGCUUAGAGAUACAAAGUGUGUGUGUUCCUUGGGAUGACACCUCCUAAUCCACCUAGAUACAGUCUCCUAAUUAAAAUCAGAUUGUAGUGGCGCCUUUAAACGAAAGAAAUGAAUGCCACUAUUCCACUGCAAUUACAAGACACGGGAGGAACAAAUAAGAAAAUGCACUACUGAAACUAACACAUUAAUCAGGCAUCCAAUUUCAAUUUCUUAGAUUUUACCACAUGCAAGCAAAAAAGCACACAAGGGUAGUCAAUGCCAGAUGGUAUUUGCAAUUUGGGAAUUGCAUGAUCAGUUUUAUAUUUCUUGGUAGCAAUCCUAUUCUUCAGUCCAGUUUUAGCUGCUUUACUUUCCAGGAGUUAAUGGAGAUUGCUGAAGGAGUUGCUUAUGAUUCAUCAAUUGGACUAGAUUCAUCUGGAAACCUUGGUGAACAGUUGAUUGUCCCUUCUGAAAACUUGCUUGAUUUAGAAUUUGGCAGCUUUCCACUACCUCCGAAAUUCAACAUCCUUAUCCGUCCUUUUAGUUUGUGAUGCCUUCAGAAGUAUUCGACAUGCUCUUGUCAACCAUCUUUAUGAUUCCUGAUCCCAAUAAAAAUGGAAGUAUCCUAUUCAAGAUCCCUUACUUUGAUAUACUGGAACAUUGUGCUAACAUUCAUAAUGGCAACAACAUGAGCGUUCACUUAAUCCGCCCAUUGUUGUGAAUCCUACCUUUCACAAUGAGUGGAAGCAAAACCUUGCUUAUUGCCUUGCCAGAGCCACAACCACAUGGACAAACCUGAUUUCUUGAGUUACACGAUGGAGUUACGUCUGCUGUAGUUUGCCAUCUGGAAUAUAAGUUGUAAUGGUUUUGCUCCAUUAAAAAUCAGUUUAUGAUGUUUUCCGCUUAAAUUCCAGAGCUUUAAGAAUUAAAUAUACUUUGGAUGUAGCUUUCGGAUUUCUAACACAUCAUCUAUAUCAGUGUACAGAUGUUGUGCAUGCAUAUCACUUGUGUUGUCUUCAUAUUUUCCCGCCUCCUGACAGCAACCGGUUUAUUGAAAAUAUACUUUCUACUUGAUGUUGGAAUGGAAUUGCCCACUCUCCUAGGAAAAUCGUUUGAAGAGUAUUGAUGAAACCUCUCUAUAUCACUGUAUCUUCUGGAUGCCAGGAAACGUUAGAGGAACUCACUAACGCAUCAGGAUCUGAAUUCGAGAUUCCAGCAAACUUUGGCGAACAGGUAGAUGUCGAUCCACGAAUAGCUACCGAGUGGCCGGGGACAUGACAACUGAUUCCAAUCUGGUCAUCGCCACUGGAGAUGAUGCUGGCAGCCAAUUUUGAAUCUUUUAAGAGCAUGAUGUUGACUGUAGCAAGUAUUUAUGCAUCGGAGGUGGUGUUGGAUAGAACAAUGCGUAGUAGAUAAAUGCCAUGGCAGUUCGUAAAGGUUGUUCCAAGUUGUAGCAGUUGAUAGUUGAGAGAGACAGGUCUUGAACUCUAGGUGCCGUUGCAUGGAUGUUUGUGUAUUCUGUGUAGUGAGAAACAGUGAGCGAAUUCACUGUCUAAGAUAGAUAUCUCUCUUGUCUAAUUUGCAGUGAUCAAAUAUGCUGUGUAAGAUAGAUAUCUCUCGUCUAAUUUGCAGUAUCAGUAUCGCCUGAGUGCUGGUUGAGUUUGUCCCAUGCCAAAAGUUAAUUCAAGUUGAAAGAUCCAGAAAAUAGUCAGGUACCGGUAGAGACGAUGCCUUCAGUUUCAUGUAAAGCAAAUAUUGUAGAGCAUCAUUUGCAAUGGAAGCACUAUUUCACUGGA
Sesamum indicum (sesame) is the source of this 3266-nucleotide non-coding RNA. The record is from RefSeq and is a predicted model, not a curated record. NCBI's taxonomy places the organism in Eukaryota, Viridiplantae, Streptophyta, Magnoliopsida, Lamiales, Pedaliaceae.